This 332-nucleotide ribosomal RNA is filed under the name uncultured eukaryote. Its description in RNAcentral is "partial 18S ribosomal RNA". It matches the Rfam family "Eukaryotic small subunit ribosomal RNA", at positions 1470 to 1796 of the family's 1831-position model. The record is from RNAcentral.
CCCUUAGAUGUCCUGGGCCGCACGCGCGCUACACUGACGGAGCCAGCGAGCUUACCCCUUUGCCGAAAGGCAUGGGAAAUCUUUUGAAUCUCCGUCGUGCUGGGGAUAGAUCAUUGCAAUUAUUGAUCUUGAACGAGGAAUUCCCAGUAAGCGCGAGUCAUAAGCUCGCGUUGAUUACGUCCCUGCCCUUUGUACACACCGCCCGUCGCUACUACCGAUUGAACGGUUUAGUGAGGGCCUCGGAUUGGUCUCGGCCCGCUCUUUACCGGGCGGCGCCGUUGGUCGAGAAGACGCUCGAACUUGAUCGUUUAGAGGAAGUAAAAGUCGUAACA